GUCUAACAACAAGCAUAUUUGUAAUACACGAUUGGAUAAUUUUGGACUCGGCUGGCACACAAAAAGGCUAUCCUUUUACAAAUCCUUAAAUUGACUGACCAUGCAAGGUGCGGAUGAACAUGCAUUGAUAUGUUCUCUCAAUAAGUGCCAAGCCAAUUCCAUUAUACAUAAGCAUUUCCAUUAAUAUAUUAUUUAUUUUAACCAUAAUCUUCUAUUGUUGUCAUGUCUGAGUUUAUACCAGAGGUCCACAGCAAUAAUACUCAGAGUAAUAGGUCUUUAUACCACAUUAAAUGUGUUUAUAAAUCAGUUACAUAGCUGAAAAGAGACUUGCGUCCAUCAAGUUCAGCCUACCUCACAUUUGUUUUUUGCUGUUGAUCCAAAAGAAGGCAAAAAAAAAAACAGUUUGAAGCACAAUUUUGCAACAAACUAGGAAAAAAAU
Non-coding RNA from Pelobates cultripes (western spadefoot toad), 439 nucleotides. Lineage: Eukaryota; Metazoa; Chordata; Amphibia; Anura; Pelobatidae. The record is from the annotation of a GenBank genome assembly.